AGAGUGUAGACACUGACUGAUGGGACCAGGUACAAAAUCCCCUGGGACAAAACAGAACUUUCAUAACUGGCUGUAGAGUUAUUGUUUUUGCCUUUUGGAAGCUUCCACCUUGUGACGGGAAGAGCACUGUCAGCCCAACACAGAAACUCUGCCGCCUGGAGUCACGUGGAUCCAGAUGCGAAGGGACUCCAACGUCAUGCUAAGGAGUUUGGGUAAUAACAAUGAUAAAAUGCACUUAUUGAGGUAGUGUUUAAUGUGUUUAAUGUAUCUUCUUUACACGUGUUUAAUGUAUCUUCUUUAAUCCUGAAGGCUAAGAAUUUGUACAGCCAUAUUACAGAUUUGGAAAAUGAUGUGAAGAGAAGCUAAGGGAUUUGCCACUGCCACUCAGCUGCCAAGGAUCAGAGGCAGGAUUCUAGUCUGUCCCCUUUGUUCCAUCACCCCUGCCUCCCCCUGGGCCCAGCCACCAUCACCUCUCCUGGGGGGAGCUCCUAAUUGUUCUCCCUUCUUCCUCUUGUGCGCUCCUCCAAACUAUCUCCAGCCAAAGUGAUCUUUAACAAUGUAAAUCCAGUUAUAUCACUCUUUCCAUUGUAACAGACAUUACUUCUACUUCUCAACGUCCAUCCUCCAACCAUUGUCCAGUGAUUCAGGCAGAAUUCCCUCCUGCUCAGGAGGUAGCCAUCCUGUGACCCUGGAAGAAACCAGCCCAAGGAAGGUGCUAACCUACAGAAGAAGGACAUGGCCAGGGUAAUCACAUAGACCCGGAGUUGAAGCCCUGACUGCACCACACCCGAAGCCUCCCCACCUUUCAACCUCUCGGUGAUGGUGAACCAAUAAACUCUUUUUAUUGUUC
RNAcentral lists this long non-coding RNA (850 nucleotides) under Homo sapiens (human). RNAcentral's name for it is "long intergenic non-protein coding RNA 1767". Lineage: Eukaryota; Metazoa; Chordata; Mammalia; Primates; Hominidae. The record is from RNAcentral.